GAUGAACGCUAGCGGGAGGCUUAACACAUGCAAGUCGAGGGGCAUCAUGGCGUAGCAAUACGCUGAUGGCGACCGGCGCACGGGUGCGUAACGCGUAUGGAACCUACCCACCGCAGGGGGAUAACCCGCCGAAAGGCGGACUAAUACCCCAUGGUUCCCCGACCCUGCCUGGGGUUGGGGGUAAAGCCUACGGGCGGCGGUGGAUGGCCCUGCGUGCCAUUAGCUGGCUGGUGGGGUAACGGCCCACCAGGGCGACGAUGGCUAGGGGGUCUGAGAGGACGAUCCCCCACACUGGUACUGAGACACGGACCAGACUCCUACGGGAGGCAGCAGUGAGGAAUAUUGGUCAAUGGGCGGAAGCCUGAACCAGCCAUGCCGCGUGCAGGACGAAGGCCUUCGGGUUGUAAACUGCUUUUGUACAGAACGAAAAGGCUCUGGUUAAUACCUGGGGCUCAUGACGGUACUGUAAGAAUAAGCACCGGCUAACUACGUCGCCAGCAGCCGCGGUAAGCUAGUCUACG
RNAcentral lists this ribosomal RNA (521 nucleotides) under uncultured bacterium. RNAcentral's name for it is "bacterial SSU rRNA". It matches the Rfam family "Bacterial small subunit ribosomal RNA", at positions 28 to 536 of the family's 1533-position model. The record is from RNAcentral.